RNAcentral lists this ribosomal RNA (560 nucleotides) under Pseudomonas sp. RNAcentral's name for it is "bacterial SSU rRNA". It matches the Rfam family "Bacterial small subunit ribosomal RNA", at positions 137 to 692 of the family's 1533-position model. Lineage: Bacteria; Pseudomonadati; Pseudomonadota; Gammaproteobacteria; Pseudomonadales; Pseudomonadaceae. RNAcentral also lists the same sequence under 3 other names. The record is from RNAcentral.
UGGGGGACAACGUUUCGAAAGGAACGCUAAUACCGCAUACGUCCUACGGGAGAAAGCAGGGGACCUUCGGGCCUUGCGCUAUCAGAUGAGCCUAGGUCGGAUUAGCUAGUUGGUGAGGUAAUGGCUCACCAAGGCGACGAUCCGUAACUGGUCUGAGAGGAUGAUCAGUCACACUGGAACUGAGACACGGUCCAGACUCCUACGGGAGGCAGCAGUGGGGAAUAUUGGACAAUGGGCGAAAGCCUGAUCCAGCCAUGCCGCGUGUGUGAAGAAGGUCUUCGGAUUGUAAAGCACUUUAAGGUGGGAGGAAGGGUUGUAGAUUAAUACUCUGCAAUUUUGACGUUACCGCCAGAAUAAGCACCGGCUAACUCUGUGCCAGCAGCCGCGGUAAUACAGAGGGUGCAAGCGUUAAUCGGAAUUACUGGGCGUAAAGCGCGCGUAGGUGGUUUGUUAAGUUGGAUGUGAAAUCCCCGGGCUCAACCUGGGAACUGCAUCCAAAACUGGCAAGCUAGAGUAUGGUAGAGGGUAGUGGAAUUUCCUGUGUAGCGGUGAAAUGCGUA